RNAcentral lists this ribosomal RNA (433 nucleotides) under uncultured bacterium. RNAcentral's name for it is "partial 16S ribosomal RNA". It matches the Rfam family "Bacterial small subunit ribosomal RNA", at positions 29 to 507 of the family's 1533-position model. The record is from RNAcentral.
AACGAACGCUGGCGGCAUGCCUAACACAUGCAAGUCGAACGAGACCUUCGGGUCUAGUGGCGCACGGGUGCGUAACGCGUGGGAACCUGCCCUUAGGUUCGGAAUAACUCCCCGAAAGGGGUGCUAAUACCGGAUAAUGUCUUCGGACCAAAGAUUUAUCGCCUUUGGAUGGGCCCGCGUUGGAUUAGCCAGUUGGUAGGGUAAAAGCCUACCAAGGCGACGAUCCAUAGCUGGUCUGAGAGGAUGAUCAGCCACACUGGGACUGAGGCACGGCCCAGAACCCUACGGGAAGCAGCAGUGGGGAAUAUUGGACAAUGGGCGAAAGCGUGAUCCAGCAAUGCCGCGUGAGUGAGGAAGGCCGUAGGGUUGUAAAGCUCUUUUACCCGGGAUGAUAAUGACAGUACCGGGAGAAUAAGCUCCGGCUAACUCCGUG